RNAcentral lists this unclassified non-coding RNA (589 nucleotides) under Homo sapiens (human). RNAcentral describes it as "mucin 20, cell surface associated (ENSG00000275430.3)". Lineage: Eukaryota; Metazoa; Chordata; Mammalia; Primates; Hominidae. The record is from RNAcentral.
AAAAGGUACCCGCGAGAGACAGCCAGCAGUUCUGUGGAGCAGCGGUGGCCGGCUAGGAUGGGCUGUCUCUGGGGUCUGGCUCUGCCCCUUUUCUUCUUCUGCUGGGAGGUUGGGGUCUCUGGGAGCUCUGCAGAUUUGAAGAUUGUACCAGGAGAGCCGCAGUGUUCCAGAGCUACUGAGGGGGCUGGGCUGGGAUUUGCUGUAUUCGAGAAGACCCCCUUGGACCCGAGAGGCUGUGGGCUUGGGGAGCAUGAGGAGGUUUCACAGCAGAAAGGACACCCCGGGGCUCCUGGAUAAGCCAGAAAAUGUGCCAGGGGAAGUCGGGCUCCAAGGGCACCACUCUGGGCUUCCAGCUGUGUGGGCUGGACCAAGAAGGCUCAGAGAAAUGAUCUCAGGCUUGAAGUGGGGAGAAGAAACUGUAUUAUGAAGGCAGACGAACAGUUCCUGCAAAGCCCCAGCACCCGCAGAGCAGACACUGCGAUGACAACGGACGACACAGAAGUGCCCGCUAUGACUCUAGCACCGGGCCACGCCGCUCUGGAAACUCAAACACUGAGCGCUGAGACCUCUUCUAGGGCCUCAACCCCAG